UUUUUUAAUCGAAAUGCUUGAAGUUCUUUAGGCCAAGAAGUACUUUAGCUUAAGGUUUAAGGUAUGUACUCCACUUACUUCACUGUGUCUGAGGGAAAAAGGAGAAGACACCUGGAGGACCACUGUGGUGAGAAGGAAGGCCGCCUGGGGAUACUAGCUUCAAGGAAAAAGACGUGUCCUCUCACCAAGAGCCACCCACCCCACAAAGGACAAGCAGUGGUGAGGGCAGGAGUUUAGGAAAUUCCUGAGGCAGUGCUACCAAGUAAGAGCCACAAAGAGUGGAGGCAGGUCACAGGCAGGUCUCCUUAGUGGCUUCACACCUUGGCUUCCGGCCAUGAACUUGCUGCCUGGACCAGACAGGACCUUUUCCCUGCUGGGCUCAUGACAGCGAGUCUUUGGUCACUACCGAAGCCUCUAGGGAGUGUGGUGGGAGAGAGCUGUGAAGCCACAGUCCCCGCAGAGCCUUUCCCCAGAGGCCCCUGCUCCUGCAGGGCUGACAAGGGUCCCUGCAGCACCACCCAGCCAGGUCAGAGGACUCUCUCAGACCACUACAUAAUGGCCAGAUGGCAUCCACACAAACACCGGUUACCUGGUUUAAAAGCCAGGUAGGUUGUGUGUAUUGGCCAGGCCGCUGUGGGCAGUGUGGAAAUCAGUCUGUAAGUAGUUUUGUAAGCAUCUCCCUGCAAACCCUGGGAGGAAGGUCCUGUGAUGUUUUUAGGAAGCAAAUAUAAUACAAAUGUGAAUUCUUUUUUACUCAUUUAAAUAUGUAGAAUGGUAUUCUCUUUACUAGGGACUCCAAAGUGUUCAACCGGUAAUGGGUUUUGUUCAUUUUUGUUUUUGUCUUUUAGUUACAGAAUAUAACUAUUAGGGUAUGGUGGCCCUUGCCUAUCAUCCAAUGACUCAGGAGCCAAGGCAGGAGGAUGGCACAUUCCAGGCCAGC
RNAcentral lists this long non-coding RNA (940 nucleotides) under Marmota monax (woodchuck). The record is from RNAcentral. Lineage: Eukaryota; Metazoa; Chordata; Mammalia; Rodentia; Sciuridae.